UGAUGUGGAUGAUUGUCUAUGAUGAGUGCUUGUGUGAUUGGUUGUCGUGAUCCCUAUGAGGAUCCUUGAAUGAGAUCUAGGUUGCUAGAAAGAAGUGAAUGCUUAAGAUGAUAAACACGUCAUUGGUAACUAAUGUGAAUGCAUGAUGUACAUGAAUGAGAUGUCCUUUGUUAUCAGUUGUAUGAUUGAGAAGGUGAUGUGUAUUGUGUGAGACACCGAUAACGGGUGACGUCUAGUGAACGAGUAUGAGUAUGAGUCUAAGUGUAAAUGAAUGAGAAUGAGAAUGAGAAAGUGAAUGAGAAUGAGAAUGUGAACGUGUCAAUAAAAUGCGUGAUGUCUUGUUUGGACCACCGAGAACGGGUGGGCGUCUAGAGUCUAGGAUGUGUGAACCUGCGGGACAGUAGCCUAACACGAGGUACCCGCAGGAGCCCACGGGACAGUAGCCUAACAUGAGGUACCCUUGGGAGUGACCCGUGGG
RNAcentral lists this long non-coding RNA (478 nucleotides) under Brassica napus (rape). RNAcentral describes it as "long non-coding RNA (BNAP_LNC020754)". Lineage: Eukaryota; Viridiplantae; Streptophyta; Magnoliopsida; Brassicales; Brassicaceae. The record is from RNAcentral.